RNAcentral lists this ribosomal RNA (236 nucleotides) under uncultured Candidatus Saccharibacteria bacterium. Its description in RNAcentral is "partial 16S ribosomal RNA". It matches the Rfam family "Bacterial small subunit ribosomal RNA", at positions 584 to 818 of the family's 1533-position model. Lineage: Bacteria; Candidatus Saccharimonadota. The record is from RNAcentral.
AAAGUGAAUAGUGAAACCUGGUGGCUCAACCAUACAGACUAUUAUUCAAACUCACUAACUCGAGAAUGGUAGAGGUAACUGGAAUUUCUUGUGUAGGAGUGAAAUCCGUAGAUAUAAGAAGGAACACCAAUGGCGUAGGCAGGUUACUGGACCAUUUCUGACACUGAGGCACGAAAGCGUGGGGAGCGAACCGGAUUAGAUACCCGGGUAGUCCACGCCGUAAACUAUGGAUACUA